UGAUGAAGCCGUUUAGCCGAUCCAGGGCAGAU
RNAcentral lists this non-coding RNA (32 nucleotides) under Homo sapiens (human). Lineage: Eukaryota; Metazoa; Chordata; Mammalia; Primates; Hominidae. The record is from RNAcentral.